GGGUUCUAUUACUUUAUGCUAGCAGUGUGAUUAUUACCCUUUUGAUUCCUAUUACCCUAUGCUUUAUCUUUCAGCUAAGUGUACUCGUGACCCUACCAGCACUUUUCAAGAUACUUUCGACGUAUUCAUUGCGGUGAACAACGCGGUUGGGACAGCACACUCACGACGUGGAAGGUCACAGAAAUGUUGAAAGACAUCAGGUAAGUUACGCUAAAGUGCGUUUCAGAGCUCUUCAGUGACUUGUGUUUACUGCGAAACAGAUUGGGCAUACGCUUCACCCGUGCAACUUCGUCAUGUGCUCCACGGCAGCACAAGCCUUUACGGCUGUGCCACUAUGUGUGGAAACGUCGUAGCGGAUGAAUGUGAAUUAU
Molecule: long non-coding RNA, 371 nt
Organism: Ornithodoros turicata
Lineage: Eukaryota; Metazoa; Arthropoda; Arachnida; Ixodida; Argasidae
Exons: 3
Source: RefSeq, a predicted model, not a curated record